GGAUCCCGCCUUGGAACUCGCUCUUUCCGAGUGGGACAGCAGAGGGUUGAUCGAGUCUGCGUGCCCGGGAGCCGGGGUGCGUGCCUCGGUGGAAAGUGAAGCUCAAGAUGUGUUUGUUACUGGCUUUGGGAAUCCUCAGUCUGGACUCUGCCAUGCCUUGCAAGCAGAAAGACGCCACGUGAAUUCUGAAGCUGCAGAAGUAAAUAUUUCUUACUGUACUUAAGGAUCUUGAGGAAAGCCUCAUGAUUAUGGCAGCUAUAAAAUCUCCUAAGAGUUGUCCCCCAUAACAAAGCAGGUGCAAUCCAAGAAUCCCAAAGGAGUCAGAAGGGAGAGGUUUUGUGAUAUCAGAUGAUCAUCUCUACUGUCUUCCAGCCUCGUGCGUGCACACAGAGCAAGAAAGAGAGUUCACCCACUUCUAGAAGUGCAGGUGUUCAAGAAGCUUGAAAACAGCAGCCUGGAAUGUGGAGUUCUAAUGCACUUGGAAAUUCUUCCCAUUGCCCUUCCUGCUCUUCAGAAAUACUGCUUGGUUCUGUAGUAUGGCAGGGGAGUAGCUGUUCACUGAAAACGUCUGAAUAAUCCUGGAGUGAAGUUCAAGGCAGAAUGUCGCUGUAGAAGAAGAGGCUUUAUAGGCACUCUUAGAACUUUGUAUGAAUAUUUGAGUGUGUCAAAUAUAUGCAUCAAAAGUGAAUAAAGCAAGGUUUAAAAUGUGGGAAGACCUGUGUUGUCUGAAUUAGAGUUUACAAUGUUAGUAGUGGAAAUUAAUAAAAUCUUAAGUUUCUGUUUUCAGUGACUUGAUAUUUUUUUUUUUUGUUGUUGAGGGUAUGGGAGUAGUAGCACUGUGAUCCUGCUGGAUGUCAUCCUGGGUAGGAGUUACACAAGCCUUAAGUAUUCAGCUUGUCCAGAUUUGACAGGAAGUCUGCAAAUUUACUGCUGCUUUUUAUUUAAUGUGUAUCUCUUGGAUUUAGGACUUGCUGAGGAUUAUGUCUAGUGCUGUAUCCUUACUAGGAUGAUGAAAUACUGGAAAACCCAAUACUGGGGAAGCAUACUGUGCUUCAAACGCUUCAUCUUUUACCACACCAUUGUUCCCACUUGUUUUUACAGWGAAGUAAAGCUGAAUUCAUUGAGCUGCCUGUCUGCCAGGUAGUCUACUAUUUUUUUACCUGAGUGUAGGACUCUACUAUCCCCUGCAGUCUAUAUAAAAUAAUGUGUAAACACUGGAUUUUGCAGGUUGAGGUGUUCCGGUGGGUUUCUUUUGUGGUUUGUUACUUUUGUGGGCUUUGUUGUUGUGUUUGGGUUUGGGCUUUGGUUGCAGGAGCAUUCAGCAUCCUUGUCUUAUCUCAUGUUGCUGUAAAGUAAAAAAAGACACAGAACAUGAACCAGUAUGAUAAC
Malurus melanocephalus (red-backed fairy wren) is the source of this 1389-nucleotide long non-coding RNA. RefSeq lists it as uncharacterized. The transcript has 4 exons. The record is from RefSeq and is a predicted model, not a curated record. NCBI's taxonomy places the organism in Eukaryota, Metazoa, Chordata, Aves, Passeriformes, Maluridae.